GUUCAUAACAGUCAUUUGUAAGUAAAUCCAUCUGUAGAUAUUGAGUGGAUACUGAGUGCAGCGCGCGAGGACGGCUCAAUAGAAAGAUGUUUUCUUGCCUUUAUUUCACGCAAACUUAUAACACUUAUCAGUAAUGAGAAGAUUCCUUCGCGUCUCCUGGACCAUGAGGAACCCCAGAGGAACGCUGAUCAACCUCCAACCUCAACUCGCAGUGAUCAACCACUCAAUAAUUGUAUUACUUUGGAUUGUGCCUUGUCAGGAACGGACACAGUGGCUUUUAAGAUCUUCUGGGCUUCUCUGCAAAGCAUCAAGAGAUCAAAGGAGACCACCAAAAGUUCUGUAAAGCAACCCAAACUUACAACUGGUUUUGCAGCAGGAAUGCUUUUGACACCACAUGCUACAGCGGCUACCAAAGCUAACCAACCAACACGUAAUUCUGAGAGUGAAAGAAAAAAAAGACGCUGAUGAUCAGUCUGCCAGUAGCAGAAUUAUCAAAGCAUGAAGGUGGUGGUGGGCCAUUCAUAUGAGGAAGAGAGAGAGAAGAGGCAUCACAAAAUAUCAGAAAACAACUGCACAGCCCACGUGGUGGAUCAUGACAGCAGUCAAGUGAAUAACUCAAGAAGGGGAAGCUUUGCAGAAUAUUGAUUUAAUGCUGCAUUCAUGCAGGGAGGAUGCUCACCCACAUUACGCACGCUCUAAUACUCCCCAGCAUACCUUGGGCCUUUGGUUUUCCGAGCCACUCUGAGAAAAAAGAGGCUGGAACAUUCCUCUCGCAUGAGCAUUUAAGCACAAUUCAGUGUCUCCGAAUCGAAGCGUGAACUGAAUCGAUCAAAAUCCAAAGAAUAGUGUCUCCUGUGGUGAAAUGCCAUGUGAUUAGCGCUCAUUUUGUGGAAAAUAGGGUGUAACUGAGUAAACAAGAUGGCUUUAUGAAGCAUCCCGAUGAAUUGUUGUGCAAUACUGUGUUUAAUGGCAUGUGGAACAUUUAUUAAAUUAAAAUAACUCGGAGUGAAGGAUAUAUGUGAAUGGAAGUGGCUUACAGGUGCACAAACAAACGGGUAUCUUACGAAGAAUGCGUCAGUCUUGAGAAUAAAGGAACACUGAAUAUUAUUUAAAUUGCAUUUAAAGCAAGAUAUUAUAGCCAUCUGAUGCAUUUUUGACCCAUAAAUAAAUAAAUAAUUCAAUAAAGAAAUAAUGAAAUAAAAUGAAAAUUAACCAUUCAGGAUGUGUUACAACGAAAUGACCAUAAGGUGAUUUACUUUUUUC
RNAcentral lists this long non-coding RNA (1263 nucleotides) under Sinocyclocheilus anshuiensis. RNAcentral describes it as "lncRNA (ENSSANG00000016561.1)". The record is from RNAcentral. Lineage: Eukaryota; Metazoa; Chordata; Actinopteri; Cypriniformes; Cyprinidae.